GUGUGAGUGAAAAUGUUGUCCCACAUUGAAAGAGUGUAAACGUGAAGAGGAGGAUUGGGAUGUGUAUCCCACAUUGGAAAAAAGAGAAAGUUGUGUCUACAUUGUAAGGCUAAGGGGCUAUUUUCCUCGUAGCCAUAUGGUUUUGAGGUGAAACCUCCUUGAACUUAUAUAGUGGACACUCAUGACGGGUGGCCCAGGCCUGUUUGUCAACUACUGUUUGAAGGACGAAGCAAAAGUGUCACCCCCAGGAAGCUCAUAUGUUAGUACAGGUAUGUAACCUUGUAUAUCAAUGUUGUAGUUGAGUCCUAACGCCCAUGAACUGACAUGUACUGUUAGUAGCUUUGGGUCUGCAGUCUCUAUCUAAUCUUGUUAUAAUCGUUGCAAAAAAAAAAAAUGUGUGCUCCCUUCCUCAUAUAUGUUUAUUUUUUCUUGCACAGUAGUUGUAUCGUAUUAUUUGCCCUUUUUUGAAAAAAAUAAAAAAAUUCUUGGAGUAUUAGUUUUACACAUUUUUUUUUUAUUUUUUUCGUUCUUUUUAAUUUGACUUGAUUUGACUUUUACAUUAUUCACACUAUCUCCUUUGAUCAUCUUUUUUGAACUAUGAGAGUGAGGGAUAGCUCAAGUGGUUAGAGCUCUCUUCUCGGUUUCAGGUAAUUUUGGGAUCGAUUCUCAUCACUUGCCCUUGUGGCUCUCUGAACACCAAAAAAAAAAAAAUCUUUCUUGAACUAUAUGUAAAGAAAAACAUAUUCGUGUGCGAAAAAAGGGUUGUGGUAUAUAUAAGAACCCUCCUCUAUAUAAGAACCCAAUCUUAUAUAAGAACCAAUCUCAGCCGUUUAUUAGUUUUGAUCUAACCGUCCUAAAUACAGCCAUAAUAAUGGCAUUUUUGUAAUUUCAUGCAUUAUACAUACACCUCCUCUCAUCUUCCUCUUUCACGUAUCUUUCACUCUAAUUUGUUUUCUCUCUUCUCAAACACAUUUCACACUUCCCACCACUUUCUCUCUCCUAAAACCCCCAAUUUUUCUCAGAAAUCCACCGUAAUCGCUCCUAAUUGAAGAAAAUUAUAACGAUUUUCUUCUACUUUUUGCUCAAAUUCAGCUAAAUUUGUUCAUUAAGUUGCAUAAACUAGUUGAAUGGAGAAAUUUAAGUAGAAAUUUUGUAAAUUCGAACCCUAGUUUGACGGAAAUCGAAGAAAAAUUGAAUGGACGGAGGCAAAGAACAAUAAAUUCGUACACCAAUUUGUUCUGAAGUGCAAAGACCAUAAAUCGAACUUUCACCCCUAACGUGAUGGGAGGUGCAAGUGAACACAUUGGUCGUCUUGCUAGUUGUUUUCAACACGAAUCUAAUUCUGCAGAAAGAAGAAUGAAAGUGACAAGAGAAAUCAUGAAAAUGGAAUGAUUAUCUCCAAAUGUGGUUCUCAAAGAAGAUUUCUCUUAAUCCUCUUCAGUCGAUUUCUUUUUCAACCUUCCAGAUGACUACAAAUAUGCUUAUGUCCAAGGUUUGUUGAUUUCCGAUUAAAAGAUAUUUGUGUAAAUAUACUAUGAAGAAGGAGAGAGUAGUACCUAAAAAGAUAAUAUGUAUUGCUCUGAAAGUUUCUUAAUUAGUAGGAACUAUUAUUGUUAUAUUUUGUGAUGAUACACUAAAUUACAACACUAAUAUAUAUAUGUCGGUUAA
Long non-coding RNA from Chenopodium quinoa (quinoa), 1668 nucleotides. RefSeq lists it as uncharacterized. The record is from RefSeq and is a predicted model, not a curated record. Lineage: Eukaryota; Viridiplantae; Streptophyta; Magnoliopsida; Caryophyllales; Amaranthaceae. The transcript has 2 exons.